CAGGAGCGGCUGAAGGCGGAGCGGAAGCGGCUGAGGAACCGGAUCGCGGCCUCCAAGUGCCGGCGGCGGAAGCUGGAGCGCAUCGCCCGCCUGGAGGAAAAGGUGAAGGCGCUCAAGGGGCAGAACGCCGAGCUGGCCGCCACCGCCAACCUGCUGCGCGCCCAGGAGGUUCCAGAGGCCGGAUGUUAAGCGUGUCGCAAGGGUAA
Molecule: long non-coding RNA, 206 nt
Filed under: Apteryx owenii (little spotted kiwi)
Lineage: Eukaryota; Metazoa; Chordata; Aves; Apterygiformes; Apterygidae
Description: lncRNA (ENSAOWG00000017063.1)
Source: RNAcentral